This is a long non-coding RNA of Solanum dulcamara, 822 nucleotides long. RefSeq lists it as uncharacterized. The transcript is spliced from 3 exons. The record is from RefSeq and is a predicted model, not a curated record. Lineage: Eukaryota; Viridiplantae; Streptophyta; Magnoliopsida; Solanales; Solanaceae.
GAAAACUCUAGAGAAAAAGAGAAGAAUAGAGGAGAAGAAACUAGAGAGGGAGAGAGAGAGCCACGGUUUUGGAAGGGAAAAAAAGUAAGUUCUUCAAUUCCGGUUCGAGAAAUAAUUAUAUAGAGUAUACCAUGAUGUCAUGAAGGUAUUAUUAAUGAAAAUUUAUGGUUUGGAGCAUUUCAAAACGUCACCAAACAGCCCCAAAGUUUUAGCCGCGCUAGAAGAGCUUCCGAGGCAAGUUUUGGAGAGUUUCGGUAAAGAAAAACAAGUUGGAAGAAUAAGAAAAGCUAGUAAGGCGGUACAGGUACACACAGACAAGUAGAAGUUACUAUAGAAGAUGUUCCAGCAGGGUUAGCAACUCCACUUGUUCCUGGAGUGCGGCCGAGUCAGAGUAUAUGCGAUAUGAUGUUUCGUUCAAAGUUAGAGACUUUGCAGACAGAGUUGUGGGUAUAGAGUGUCAUCUUUGUAAGCGGCGUCACCAGCCGAUAUGUUAUUAUGUCGCAUGAGAUGAUAGAUUUUGGAUAGCAAGAUUUGGAAAGCGUAGAUAUGUUUUUCAUUUCUUUUUGAUGUGAAAUUCUAAAGAGAUUGAGAAUGUAAUAUGAGUUAGUGGGUUCGCUCGGCUCCGAGCACGGGGUCGGGUGCCCAUCACACCCUAUUGAUAUCGGGGUGUGACAAUACCCCUUUCCUAAAUAUUUCCUUUAUAUACCCCUUCGACCAAACUAAUUACCCUUGUACCACCUUUAAUUAUUUUAAAUUCGUACAUGAUGUCAGCGUCCACCCUACAUGAUACCGAUAGGGUAUCAUAUACCGAUAAAGUAUCAU